RNAcentral lists this ribosomal RNA (182 nucleotides) under uncultured insect microflora 3. RNAcentral's name for it is "partial 16S ribosomal RNA". The record is from RNAcentral.
GGCUGCUGGCACAUAAUUAGCCGGGGCUUAUUCAUUAAGUACCGUCAAGGGAGUUUUUCCACUCUUUUUUCUUCCUUAAUAAAUGNANUUUACAUACCGAGGUACUUCAUCGUUCACGCGGCGUUGCUCGGUCAGAGUUUCCUCCAUUGCCGAAAAUUCCCUACUGCUGCCUCCCGUAGAGG